Non-coding RNA from Plutella xylostella (diamondback moth), 291 nucleotides. The record is from RefSeq and is a predicted model, not a curated record. NCBI's taxonomy places the organism in Eukaryota, Metazoa, Arthropoda, Insecta, Lepidoptera, Plutellidae.
CAAUGGAGCCGGGAUUUCAGGCAUCUCGGUGUACAACAGGACGCUGUCCUUGAGCAGCCGGGUCACUCAGUAGUGAGUCACACGUGACGGCUACAGACGGCGCCGCUAGAAAGCGACCGUCCGCGCCGAUGUCAGAAUUGCAACUGAGGUGGUUAGUGUAGGUGGAGUCGCUUGUAUGUGGGUGUAGGAGAGCGUGUCGACAACGCGGCCUGUGCGUCGCCGGCGCUGCCUGCAGUGAGGGGACAGGCGGAGGCCGAGCCCUCGCCCGCAGCGCGCCCCACUGACACUCAC